GACGAACGCUGGCGGCGUGCUUAACACAUGCAAGUCGAACGGAAAGGCCCUGCUUGCAGUGUGCUCGCGUUGCGAACGGGUGGGUAACUCGUGGGUGAUCUACCCCUUACUUUGGGAUAAGCCUGGUCGACUGGGUCUAAUACUGGAUAGGUCCAUGCUGUAGGUGGUGUGGUGGAAAGUUUAGGUUCGGUCAGGGAUGAGCUCGCGGACUAUCAGCUUGUUGCUGGGGUAAUGGCCUACCAAGGCGUCGGCGGGUAGCCGGCCUGAGGGGGAGGACGGCCACAUUGGGACUGAGAUACGGCGCAGACUCCUACGGGAGGCAGCAGUGGGGAAAAUUGCACAAUGGGCGCAAGCCGGAUGCAGCGACGCCGCGUGGGGGAUGAAGGCCUUCGGGUUGUAAACACCUUUCAGCCAUGACGAAGCCCUUGUGGUGACGGUAGUGGUAGAAGAAGCACCGGCUAACUACGUA
Molecule: ribosomal RNA, 469 nt
Filed under: uncultured bacterium
Lineage: Bacteria
Description: partial 16S ribosomal RNA
Rfam family: Bacterial small subunit ribosomal RNA
Source: RNAcentral